RNAcentral lists this ribosomal RNA (261 nucleotides) under uncultured bacterium. RNAcentral's name for it is "partial 16S ribosomal RNA". It matches the Rfam family "Bacterial small subunit ribosomal RNA", at positions 15 to 275 of the family's 1533-position model. The record is from RNAcentral.
GAUCAUGGCUCAGGACGAACGCUGGCGGCGUGCCUAACACAUGCAAGUCGAACGGGACUUGCCCCUUCGGGGACAAGUUUAGUGGCGGACGGGUGAGUAACGCGUGAGCAACCUACCUUUCAGUGGGGGACAACAGUUGGAAACGACUGCUAAUACCGCAUAACACUUAUUUAGGGCAUCUUAAAUAAGUCAAAGAUUUAUUGCUGAAAGAUGGGCUCGCGUCUGAUUAGCUAGUUGGUGGGGUAACGGCCCACCAAGGCG